UACGAAGGGGGCUAGCGUUGUUCGGAAUUACUGGGCGUAAAGCGUGCGCAGGCGGCUGCUCAAGUCAGGGGUGAAAGCCCAGAGCUCAACUCUGGAAUUGCCUUUGAGACUGAGUGGCUUGAGUACGGGAGAGGUGAGUGGAAUUCCCAGUGUAGAGGUGAAAUGCGUAGAUAUUGGGAAGAACACCGGUGGCGAAGGCGGCUCACUGGCCCGUAACUGACGCUCAUGCACGACAGCGUGGGGAUCAAACAGG
This 253-nucleotide ribosomal RNA is filed under the name uncultured bacterium. Its description in RNAcentral is "partial 16S ribosomal RNA". It matches the Rfam family "Bacterial small subunit ribosomal RNA", at positions 524 to 776 of the family's 1533-position model. The record is from RNAcentral.